AUUGGAUAUAUUUUAUGACAUUUAAAAUAUCUAUAUUUUAAAACUAUUAAUUUUGAAAAUAUAUUUAUUAUGAAUAAAAAUAAUGUCACUACAACAAAAACGAUCUAUAGCGACACUUUUAAAUGUAGGUACAUGUCAAAAAAGUGCUGCUAGCUAAAAUUACCGACACUUUUAAAAAGUGUUGCUAUAUGUGGGGUCGCUAGGUAUAUAGUGACAGUUAAAGAGUGUCGCUAUAACCUAAAAGAGUGCUGCUAAUUUACCAACACUUAUUUAAGUAUUUAGCAACCGCCGAAAGUCUAUCUCUUUGGCUGCGCUGGCGGAGGAGAACGACAGGAAAGGCUCUUCGUCUAGAAUUUCAGUGGAUUGAGUGAAAAGAGAAAAAAAGAUGGUAAUUGAUUUUUCUUUUUUUUUCUUUUCUGUUUGUAAUCGGGCCAAAUGGACUGGAUGUGGUGGAUUGAGUAGAGUAAUCUUUUAUUUUUGGUUGGAUUGAGUUUUUUAUUUAGGCAUUAGUAGAUGUUUUUUUUAAGUUUUAGCAUAAAUGGGACACUUACUCAAAAGUGUCCCAAACAUGUGUCCCUAUAACCUAAUUCUGUUGUAGUGUGUCUUUUUUGAUAUCUAUU
This 620-nucleotide long non-coding RNA is filed under the name Ananas comosus (pineapple). Its description in RNAcentral is "long non-coding RNA (ACOM_LNC023235)". The record is from RNAcentral. Lineage: Eukaryota; Viridiplantae; Streptophyta; Magnoliopsida; Poales; Bromeliaceae.